UGCCUUUCAGGGUAGCACCUGGAGAGUUUCCAGUCCUCUACCAGCCUCAACUACAGGAGGGAGAGUCAAGCAGAGGCCUACCCAUUCCAUUCCUAGAUUGGGCAGUGGCUAGUGAAUAGAAGGCAAUCUGCUAUAAGU
RNAcentral lists this small nucleolar RNA (138 nucleotides) under Ornithorhynchus anatinus (platypus). The record is from RNAcentral. Lineage: Eukaryota; Metazoa; Chordata; Mammalia; Monotremata; Ornithorhynchidae.